RNAcentral lists this long non-coding RNA (353 nucleotides) under Gallus gallus (chicken). Its description in RNAcentral is "long non-coding RNA NONGGAT004154". Lineage: Eukaryota; Metazoa; Chordata; Aves; Galliformes; Phasianidae. The record is from RNAcentral.
UGCACAGGUUUGCACAAGAGUGCUUGAGAGCUCAGGCUGGGCCGGUGAUGUCCAGUGGCUGUCAGCCCAAUGCCAUUAUGUAGACCGUUGCUGCUAUCCUACAAGAAUGCAAAGAAAAUUUCUUUUCCCCUGUUGUCCUCGAAGCCAACACAAGAAGAAAAAGGCAGCAACUUGGCGGCUUUAAAAAUCAAGGAAAUCUUAGCGAAAUUUUCAAGCUCCAUCUUGCAUAGCGGAGACUACUGAUGCUUAUUAGAAGACCAUGUGGGAAAGUGAUUUUGUUUGGAAGAUGCAAAUAGAAAAGAAUAAUUAAAAGGUAACAGAAGAUUGGUCUAUUUAGUGCUGAAACAGACACC